This 757-nucleotide ribosomal RNA is filed under the name uncultured archaeon. RNAcentral describes it as "bacterial SSU rRNA". It matches the Rfam family "Archaeal small subunit ribosomal RNA", at positions 102 to 859 of the family's 1478-position model. The record is from RNAcentral.
GGAUAACCUACCCUUAGGACCGGGAUAACCUUGGGAAACUGAGGAUAAUACUGGAUAGGCAAUUAUUCCUGGAAUGGUUUUUUGUUUAAAUGUUUUUUCGCCUAAGGAUGGGUCUGCGGCCGAUUAGGUAGUUGGUUAGGUAACGGCUUACCAAGCCGUUGAUCGGUACGGGUUGUGAGAGCAAGAGCCCGGAGAUGGAACCUGAGACAAGGUUCCAGGCCCUACGGGGUGCAGCAGGCGCGAAACCUCCGCAAUGUGAGAAAUCGCGACGGGGGGAUCCCAAGUGCCAUUCUUAACGGGAUGGCUUUUCAUUAGUGUAAAGAGCUUUUGGAAUAAGGGCUGGGCAAGACCGGUGCCAGCCGCCGCGGUAACACCGGCAGCUCUAGUGGUAGCAGUUUUUAUUGGGCCUAAAGCGUCCGUAGCCGGUUUAAUAAGUCUCUGGUGAAAUCCUGUAGCUUAACUGUGGGAAUUGCUGGAGAUACUAUUAGACUUGAGACCGGGAGAGGUUAGAGGUACUCCCAGGGUAGAGGUGAAAUUCUGUAAUCCUGGGAGGACCGCCUGUUGCGAAGGCGUCUAACUGGAACGGUUCUGACGGUGAGGGACGAAAGUUAGGGGCGCGAACCGGAUUAGAUACCCGGGUAGUCCUAACCGUAAACGAUGCGGACUUGGUGUUGGGGUGGCUUUGAGCUGCUCCAGUGCCGAAGGGAAGCUGUUAAGUCCGCCGCCUGGGAAGUACGGUCGCAAGACUGAAACUUAA